UUUUUUUUUUUGAGAAGAAAAAUAAGCUCAUAAUCACAUAAAUGUCUGACAAUUGUCAAAGCCACAUUAUCAAUAAAAUAUCAGAAGCAAGAAGGCUAAAUGUCUUUCAAUCGUUCCUGAGAUCACCAAAACCAUCAAAGUAUCAAAUUUUGCUUUCGAACAAACAACUAGUCAUGGCAGGAUGUAUCUAUGCUGUUCAAGGCAAGUGAAGCAGAUACUCCUUAACAGAUAAUUAACUUGGCUAACGCACCAAAUAUCGCUCAGUAUGACUUCCCGCAGUGUAUCAAGCUUCCAGCACCCAAGAAAAGACCAAAAAUGGCAGCACUGCCUAGUGUUGUUUGUCCAAUAUGCCUGAUCUUCAAAAGUCCUGGCACCUUAUACCUGAUUGCCUCAUAUGUCCCAUAUACAGCCCCGACAGCGCCACCAACAGCACCUCCGACAGCGACGCCGGCGGUCACACGAGCCAGGCAACUAUCCCUCGCCAUGCCAAUUAUACGAGAAUCUGUAUUCUGUACUUGCUGAUCGAUAUCUAAAUCAUAGCGGCUUUUUGCGGUUUUGCAGUUUAUGGGAGAGAAAUGUAAUUUGGACUUAAAAUUGUC
RNAcentral lists this unclassified non-coding RNA (599 nucleotides) under Hevea brasiliensis (rubber tree). The record is from RNAcentral. Lineage: Eukaryota; Viridiplantae; Streptophyta; Magnoliopsida; Malpighiales; Euphorbiaceae.